This 249-nucleotide ribosomal RNA is filed under the name uncultured bacterium. RNAcentral's name for it is "partial 16S ribosomal RNA". It matches the Rfam family "Bacterial small subunit ribosomal RNA", at positions 524 to 776 of the family's 1533-position model. The record is from RNAcentral.
UACGUAGGGACCAAGCGUUGUUCGGAUUUACUGGGCGUAAAGGGCGCGUAGGCGGCAAUUCAAGUCAGUUGUGAAAUCUCCGAGCUUAACUCGGAACGGUCAACUGAUACUGUUUGCUAGAGUACAGAAGGGCAAUCGGAAUUCUGGUGUAGCGGUGAAAUGCGUAGAUAUCAGGAGGAACACCGGUGGCGAAGGCGGGUCUCUGGGCCGGCAUUGACGCUGAUGAGCGAAAGCCAGGGAGCAAACGGG